GGUGUGGUUCCCGAGCGGCCAAAGGGAGCAGACUGUAAAUCUGCCGUCAUCGACUUCGAAGGUUCGAAUCCUUCCCCCACCACCA
This 85-nucleotide transfer RNA is filed under the name Escherichia coli. RNAcentral's name for it is "tRNA-Tyr". It matches the Rfam family "tRNA". From Rfam's summary of the family: Transfer RNA (tRNA) molecules are approximately 80 nucleotides in length. Their secondary structure includes four short double-helical elements and three loops (D, anti-codon, and T loops). RNAcentral also lists the same sequence under 3 other names. The record is from RNAcentral. Lineage: Bacteria; Pseudomonadati; Pseudomonadota; Gammaproteobacteria; Enterobacterales; Enterobacteriaceae.